AGUGAACGCUGGCGGUAGGCCUAACACAUGCAAGUCGAACGGCAGCACAGUAAGAGCUUGCUCUUACGGGUGGCGAGUGGCGGACGGGUGAGGAAUACAUCGGAAUCUACUUUUUCGUGGGGGAUAACGUAGGGAAACUUACGCUAAUACCGCAUACGACCUACGGUUGAAAGCAGGGGAUCUUCGGACCUUGCGCGAUUGAAUGAGCCGAUGUCGGAUUAGCUAGUUGGCGGGGUAAAGGCCCACCAAGGCGACGAUCCGUAGCUGGUCUGAGAGGAUGAUAGGCGGCACUGGAGGUGAGACACGGUCAAGACUCCUAAGAGAGGCAGCAGUCGGGUAUAUUAGACAGUAGGGGCAAACCUGAUACAGCCAGCCCGCGUGUGUGAAAGAGGCCUUCGGGGUGUAAUGACCUUUUGUUGGGAGAGAAAAGCAGCAGGUUAAUACCAAGCUGGAGUGACGGUACCCAAAAAAUAAGCACCGGCUAACUACGUG
Molecule: ribosomal RNA, 492 nt
Filed under: uncultured bacterium
Lineage: Bacteria
Description: partial 16S ribosomal RNA
Rfam family: Bacterial small subunit ribosomal RNA
Source: RNAcentral